GUCCUCACUUCUGUAGUACAUAUAACAAUACCAGAAUAUUACAAAGAAGAUUAGCAUAGUCCCUGUGCAAAAAUGACUCACAAAUUUAUAAAGUUGCCAUAUUUUU
Small nuclear RNA from Erinaceus europaeus (western European hedgehog), 106 nucleotides. The record is from Ensembl. NCBI's taxonomy places the organism in Eukaryota, Metazoa, Chordata, Mammalia, Eulipotyphla, Erinaceidae.